UCGGAGUUCAAAUUUAUUUUUAGGGUAAAUUACUCAAAUGGUCCUCAAAUUUGUACCCGAUUUAUAUUUUGGUCCAUAAACUAAAUUAUUCGUUCAAAUGAUCCACCAACUUUUAUUAAUCGGCGCCUUGGUCCUACCGUUACAUUUUCUGUUAAAUUUAGCCAUUUGAGCAGCACAUGCUACAUUUGUAGGGGUAAAUAAGACUUUUGACCUAUGUAGGUAUCACCAUUGUAUCACAACUUUAUCACCUAUGUAUAUAACCACUUUAUCACUAUUUAGGGAACAUAGGACGGUUAUGGAUGGUUUUACCCUUAUAUUUGACGGCAACAUUAAUGUAAUGUAACGGUAGGAUCAAUGGAGCAAUUAAUAUAGAGUUGAUGGACUAUUUGAACGAAUAAAUUAAUUGAGGAACCAAAAUAUAAAUUUGGUAUAAGUUUGAG
RNAcentral lists this long non-coding RNA (440 nucleotides) under Prunus persica (peach). Its description in RNAcentral is "long non-coding RNA (PPER_LNC000181)". The record is from RNAcentral. Lineage: Eukaryota; Viridiplantae; Streptophyta; Magnoliopsida; Rosales; Rosaceae.